GAAUGGAGAGCAGGGAGGGCCUGAGAGUGGGCUCGUCGCCCGCCCGCCAGCCCGCCCCUCCCAGGCCCACCCUCUCCCUCCCUCCCUCCCUGGCCGGGAUGCCCGGAGCCCUUGGUUGAGGCGGGAGGAUCAGCAGCCCUCUCCCAACAGUGCAGCCAAGGCCGGGCCAUGGGCAGCGGGAGCAGCAGAAGCAGGCGGGUGCGGAGGCAGCUGCGCAGCCCUGAUAAGAGCCCAGGGGUCCCUGGUGUCCAGGAGUUGAGCGAUGGGCAGCACGGCACUGAGGCCUGCCAGGAGGAGGAGGACGCGAAGGAUGGGCAGGAGGAAGGCUCAAAGAAAAGGGCCCACGGGGACUGCGCUGUCCAAGACUCUGAGUCUCCCCCAAAAGGGGAGGAGAAUGAGCCGGAGUCAGAAUCACUGCUGCUGGACCAGGUAUUGGCCGAGUCGGAAGCCUGGGACCCAGCAUUCGAACCCUGGCCAAGUCGGGCCUCCCGCUGUCGACCGGGGCCGAACCCACACCUGGGUGGGGCUCCCCGCUCCCAGGCGAACCUCAGCAGCAGCGGAGAGAGCAAGGUAUCUCCUGUACAGAGCACUCAGGAUAUAGAGAACAAUAACACCUUUGAGACUUCUACCAGAAGCAGCAAGAGGCCUGAAAGACAAACUCCCAUCUUGUACGACUGCUCAGAAGAGGAGCUGAUGGCAAGCAUUGAGCGGGAGUAUGGCCGCUGAGAGUUGACACGAGCCAGGGAAGACUCUUGAUUUUGGAGGACAGCCCCUGAGCAGUGAAAAAGGCACAUUGUCCAUGGAGAUGGGAGGCAACAUCAGCUUCUGUCCCUGCCCCUUCUCCCCAUCAGCCAGGAGCUCACACAAUACAUAACCCAGUGGGGUCAAGUUAUUCCUCCACUAAGGGAAUCAUCUCUAGUAGGCAACUGGUCAGUGGGGAGGAAGGUGUAGAGCCUUCCAGUAAGACAGCAAUCAUUUUUGAAAUGUAUUUAUAGAUCCUUAGACUAUUAUGUCUUGAUGGGACCUUCGAGAUCAUCUGGUCCAACAUUAGUAUUUUGCAGGUGAGGGAGCUGAGGUCCAGAGAGUCUUAAAGAUAACUUCCUAAGAUCAUACAAGGUGCUAAUGCUGACCAGAACUUGAAACUGGGUCUCUUGAGUAUUCAGCCAGUACUCUUUCUGCUGUACUAUCCUAUAUUCCACUUGAUAGCUGGCUUUUAAAAAUGUGACCUUUCAGAAGUCAGCUCCAAAAGGUAGUCUUUAGCAUGGCUGGCCAUCUCGCAUUGUUGUCUGAAGUGUCUGGCCAAGGACUGACUGUAUUGAGAAUCAUUCUUACAUGGUAUAGUGGAAAGAACACUGUCUCUGAGCAAUCAGAGGACCUGAGCUCAAUUCUCAACUCUAAUAUUUAGCAGCUGUGUGACCUUGGCCAAGUUACUUGUUGUCCAGUCAUUUUCAGUCAUUCCCUCCAGCUCUAGAGAUAUGAUCUAUAAUGAUCCAGACUGGAUAUUUGGCAAACUGAAGGGAAACUAAACUAGGGUGUUCUAUAAGUAACCUGUUCCUCUGUUUAUUCUUUUAAGUGUGGGGGUGGGGAGGGAAAACACUACAUAUUUAAAUUCAAGAGACAGCCUUUUGGGACCAAUUGACCCUUCAUGGGGUCCCAGUUCCCUCAUCUAUGAAAUGAAGGGGUUGAACUGGUCCCUUCCACCACUGACAUUCCUGUGAAUCUAAAUAUUUCCCUGAUGUCUGAAAAACAUCUCUGGCCUGGGCAUAGAGACUGAAAGGCAGCUCAAUACUACUUUAUUUGAAUGUGACUUUGGGUAAGACACUUCCUGUCACAGGGCCUUGUUUCCCCAUCUGUAAAAUGAAAGUGUUAGAGUAGAUGACCUCAAAGAUCCCUCCUAGCUCCCACACCAGCCAACCCUUGUAGCCUAUGUGAUCGCAUCAUUUCACUUAUCUGGAUCUCAGUUUCCUCAUCUAUAAAAUAAAGGUAAUAAUACAACCA
Vombatus ursinus (common wombat) is the source of this 1998-nucleotide long non-coding RNA. Lineage: Eukaryota; Metazoa; Chordata; Mammalia; Diprotodontia; Vombatidae. The record is from Ensembl.